AGCGACAAUACUUCAGAGAAUCAUUUCUAUAGUAUUUGUCCUCUCUUGUGUUUCCUAACGGAGCCACAGAUCCCACCCGGGUUGAUGAAUGAAAAUCCUCGAUUCCCGUACAGUGAGGUCCUUUUUUCAUUACUCUCGCCCUACCUGCAAAAGGUAGCGGUCAUUUGCUCUUCAAGGCCGUGGCUGUAUAGAGAGUGGCGAUGAUCUGUACCCCGAUUUUUCUCGAGGUCCUGCCUUCGGGCGCUCGAGCGGGGUGGGUAUCGAUGGACGUCUGACCGGC
Molecule: small nucleolar RNA, 280 nt
Filed under: Thermochaetoides thermophila DSM 1495
Lineage: Eukaryota; Fungi; Ascomycota; Sordariomycetes; Sordariales; Chaetomiaceae
Description: Chaetomium thermophilum var. thermophilum DSM 1495 Fungal small nucleolar RNA U3
Rfam family: Fungal small nucleolar RNA U3
About the family: Small nucleolar RNAs (snoRNAs) are involved in the processing and modification of rRNA in the nucleolus. There are two main classes of snoRNAs: the box C/D class, and the box H/ACA class.
Source: Rfam by way of RNAcentral